GUAGCCUAACACAUGCAAGUCGUACGAGAAAGUCGGCUUCGGCCGGCGAGUAAAGUGGCGCACGGGUGAGUUAACGCGUGGAUAAGUCUACCCGUUGAAGUUGGGAAUAACGUGCCGAAAGGUGCGCUAAUACCGAAUAAUACUGAGUGACUAAUGUUGCUUAGUCAAAGAAGGCCUCUGCUUGCAAGCUUUCGCUGAAGGAUGAGUCCGCGUACCAUUAGCUAGUUGGUAGGGUAAUGGCCUACCAAGGCAACGAUGGUUAGCUGGUCUGAGAGGAUGAUCAGCCACACUGGAACUGAGACACGGUCCAGACUCCUACGGGAGGCAGCAGUGAGGAAUAUUGCGCAAUGGGGCAACCCUGACGCAGCAACGCCGCGUGAGUGAGGAAGGUUUUCGGACCGUAAAGCUCUGUCGAGCGGGAAGAAAUGCAUGCUGGCUAAUAUCCAUCAUGCUUGACGGUACCGCUAGAGGAAGCACCGGCUAACUCCGUG
Molecule: ribosomal RNA, 491 nt
Filed under: uncultured bacterium
Lineage: Bacteria
Description: bacterial SSU rRNA
Rfam family: Bacterial small subunit ribosomal RNA
Source: RNAcentral